GUCCCUGGGGGCUGGGAUGGGCCAUGGUGUGCUCUGAUCCCCCUGUGGUCUCUUGGCCCCUAGGAACUCC
This is a microRNA precursor of Cercocebus atys (sooty mangabey), 70 nucleotides long. NCBI's taxonomy places the organism in Eukaryota, Metazoa, Chordata, Mammalia, Primates, Cercopithecidae. The record is from Ensembl.